UUGGAGAGUUUGAUCCUGGCUCAGGACGAACGCUGGCGGCGUGCUUAACACAUGCAAGUCGAACGGAAAGGCCUCCUUCGGGGGGUACUCGAGUGGCGAACGGGUGAGUAACACGUGGGUGAUCUGCCCUGCACUUUGGGAUAAGCCUGGGAAACUGGGUCUAAUACCGAAUACACCCUUUUGGUCGCAUGGCCGUUAGGGGAAAGCUUUUGCGGUGUGGGAUGGGCCCGCGGCCUAGUCUGAGAGGGUGACCGGCCACACUGGGACUGAGAUACGGCCCAGACUCCUACGGGAGGCAGCAGUGGGGAAUAUUGCACAAUGGGCGCAAGCCUGAUGCAGCGACGCCGCGUGAGGGAUGACGGCCUUCGGGUUGUAAACCUCUUUCGCUCACGACGAAGGGUGACUGACGGUAGUGAGAGAAGAAGGACCGGCCAACUACGUGCCAGCAGCCGCGGUAAUACGUAGGGUCCGAGCGUUGUCCGGAAUUACUGGGCGUAAAGAGCUCGUAGGUGGUUUGUCGCGUCGUCCGUGAAAACUCACAGCUUAACUGUGGGCGUGCGGGCGAUACGGGCAGACUGGAGUACUGCAGGGGAGACUGGAAUUCCUGGUGUAGCGGUGGAAUGCGCAGAUAUCAGGAGGAACACCGGUGGCGAAGGCGGGUCUCUGGGCAGUAACUGACGCUGAGGAGCGAAAGCGUGGGGAGCGAACAGGAUUAGAUACCCUGGUAGUCCACGCCGUAAACGGUGGGUACUAGGUGUGGGUUCUUUCCUAAGGAUCCGUGCCGUAGCUAACGCAUUAAGUACCCCGCCUGGGGAGUACGGCCGCAAGGCUAAAACUCAAAGGAAUUGACGGGGGCCCGCACAAGCGGCGGAGCAUGUGGAUUAAUUCGAUGCAACGCGAAGAACCUUACCUGGGUUUGACAUGCACAGGACGCUGGCAGAGAUGUCGGUUCCCUUGUGGCCUGUGUGCAGGUGGUGCAUGGCUGUCGUCAGCUCGUGUCGUGAGAUGUUGGGUUAAGUCCCGCAACGAGCGCAACCCUUGUCUCAUGUUGCCAGCACGUGAUGGUGGGGACUCGUGAGAGACUGCCGGGGUCAACUCGGAGGAAGGUGGGGAUGACGUCAAGUCAUCAUGCCCCUUAUGUCCAGGGCUUCACACAUGCUACAAUGGCCGGUACAAAGGGCUGCGAUGCCGUGAGGUGGAGCGAAUCCUUUUAAAGCCGGUCUCAGUUCGGAUCGGGGUCUGCAACUCGACCCCGUGAAGUCGGAGUCGCUAGUAAUCGCAGAUCAGCAACGCUGCGGUGAAUACGUUCCCGGGCCUUGUACACACCGCCCGUCACGUCAUGAAAGUCGGUAACACCCGAAGCCGGUGGCCUAACCCCGUGUGGGAGGGAGCCGUCGAAGGUGGGAUCGGCGAUUGGGACGAAGUCGUAACAAGGUAGCCGUACCGGAAGGUGCGGCUGGAUCACCUCCUUU
Molecule: ribosomal RNA, 1472 nt
Filed under: Mycolicibacterium agri
Lineage: Bacteria; Bacillati; Actinomycetota; Actinomycetes; Mycobacteriales; Mycobacteriaceae
Description: bacterial SSU rRNA
Rfam family: Bacterial small subunit ribosomal RNA
Source: RNAcentral